This is a small nuclear RNA of Suncus etruscus (white-toothed pygmy shrew), 104 nucleotides long. NCBI's taxonomy places the organism in Eukaryota, Metazoa, Chordata, Mammalia, Eulipotyphla, Soricidae. The record is from RefSeq and is a predicted model, not a curated record.
GAGCUUCCUUCAGCAGCUAACAUACUAACAUUCAAACAAUAUAGAAAUUAGCAUGGCCCCUGAGCAAGUAUGAUAAACACAUUCAUAAAGUGUUUAUAAUAUGU